AGUGAACGCUGGCGGUAGGCCUAACACAUGCAAGUCGAACGGCAGCACAGUAAGAGCUUGCUCUUACGGGUGGCGAGUGGCGGACGGGUGAGGAAUACAUCGGAAUCUACUUUUUCGUGGGGGAUAACGUAGGGAAACUUACGCUAAUACCGCAUACGACCUACGGGUGAAAGCAGGGGAUCUUCGGACCUUGCGCGAUUGAAUGAGCCGAUGUCGGAUUAGCGAGUUGCCGGGGUAAAGGCCCACCAAGGCGACGAUCCGUAGCUGGUCUGAGAGGAUGAUCAGCCACACUGGAACUGAGACACGAUCCAGACUACUACGGGAGGCAGCAGUGGGGAAUAUUAGACAAUGGGCGCAAGCCUGAUCCAGCCAUACCGCGUGGGUGAAGAAGGCCUUCGGGUUGUAAAGCCCUUUUGUUGGGAAAGAAAAGCAGCAGGUUAAUACCCCGCUGUUCUGACGGUACCCAAAGAAUAAGCACCGGCUAACUUCGUG
This 492-nucleotide ribosomal RNA is filed under the name uncultured bacterium. Its description in RNAcentral is "partial 16S ribosomal RNA". It matches the Rfam family "Bacterial small subunit ribosomal RNA", at positions 29 to 507 of the family's 1533-position model. The record is from RNAcentral.